CAGUCGCCGCGGGAAUGCGUAGGUGGCAAGCGUUGUCCGGAAUUAUUGGGCGUAAAGCGCGCGCAGGCGGAUCAGUCAGUCUGUCUUAAAAGUUCGGGGCUUAACCCCGUGAUGGGAUUGAAACUGCUGAUCUAGAGUAUCGGAGAGGAAAGUGGAAUUCCUAGUGUAGCGGUGAAAUGCGUAGAUAUUAGGAAGAACACCAGUGGCGAAGGCGACUUUCUGGACGAAAACUGACGCUGAGGCGCGAAAGCCAGGGGAGCGAACGGGAUUAGAUACCCCCGUAGUCCCUGUCUCUUAUACA
Molecule: ribosomal RNA, 301 nt
Filed under: uncultured bacterium
Lineage: Bacteria
Description: partial 16S ribosomal RNA
Rfam family: Bacterial small subunit ribosomal RNA
Source: RNAcentral